Molecule: long non-coding RNA, 528 nt
Organism: Myxocyprinus asiaticus (Chinese sucker)
Lineage: Eukaryota; Metazoa; Chordata; Actinopteri; Cypriniformes; Catostomidae
Exons: 4
Source: RefSeq, a predicted model, not a curated record
CUUCUUGUCAAGGAGGGAAGAAGAACUCUUUGUUCUUGUUUGGUUUCUGAACAAGUUGUUGACCUUUUUAAAUACAAUUUAGAAAUGUGUGAUUUCAUAGCGGGCAGAGAAAAUAAUACUAAUAACGGCCACUUGUAGAUGGAUUUCCCUGCACGUUAUGCGAUAGCAAGUGGCAAUAGCCUGAUGUCUGGCCAGUGCUAGUGCAACAACUGGUCCAGAGCUCAUGAAGGCAGUCAGAUGGGGAAAAAACAGCUUCCCAUAAUGCUCAAUGUAAAAGUCACUGCAUUGCUCGGGACUCAGGAGGGACAGGCCUAAAUAAAUUUUUGCGGUAAUCAACAUUGUGCCACAAAUGCUGUAUACUCCUAAUUUGUCACACAGGAUUGAACAGCAAAAGAGCUUAAAGGAUUGUGAACCCACAUCGAAGAAUUAUGUCCUCGACUUCAUCAGCUUUAUGGAUGGCAUCAGGUUUGAUUAAAGCCAAAGUUCUCUCGACGAAGAUACGAGGAGCAGACAUCUGCUUCUCAGGAU